This 795-nucleotide ribosomal RNA is filed under the name Bacillus sp. (in: firmicutes). RNAcentral's name for it is "bacterial SSU rRNA". It matches the Rfam family "Bacterial small subunit ribosomal RNA", at positions 569 to 1364 of the family's 1533-position model. The record is from RNAcentral. Lineage: Bacteria; Bacillati; Bacillota; Bacilli; Caryophanales; Bacillaceae.
UCGCAGGCGGUUUCUUAAGUCUGAUGUGAAAGCCCCCGGCUCAACCGGGGAGGGUCAUUGGAAACUGGGAAACUUGAGUGCAGAAGAGGAGAGUGGAAUUCCACGUGUAGCGGUGAAAUGCGUAGAGAUGUGGAGGAACACCAGUGGCGAAGGCGACUCUCUGGUCUGUAACUGACGCUGAGGAGCGAAAGCGUGGGGAGCGAACAGGAUUAAAUACCCUGGUAGUCCACGCCGUAAACGAUGAGUGCUAAGUGUUAGGGGGUUUCCGCCCCUUAGUGCUGCAGCUAACGCAUUAAGCACUCCGCCUGGGGAGUACGGUCGCAAGACUGAAACUCAAAGGAAUUGACGGGGGCCCGCACAAGCGGUGGAGCAUGUGGUUUAAUUCGAAGCAACGCGAAAAACCUUACCAGGUCUUGACAUCCUCUGACAACCCUAGAGAUAGGGCUUUCCCUUCGGGGACAGAGUGACAGGUGGUGCAUGGUUGUCGUCAGCUCGUGUCGUGAGAUGUUGGGUUAAGUCCCGCAACGAGCGCAACCCUUGAUCUUAUUUGCCAGCAUUCAGUUGGGCACUCUAAGGUGACUGCCGGUGACAAACCGGAGGAAGGUGGGGAUGACGUCAAAUCAUCAUGCCCCUUAUGACCUGGGCUACACACGUGCUACAAUGGACAGAACAAAGGGCUGCAAGACCGCAAGGUUUAGCCAAUCCCAUAAAUCUGUUCUCAGUUCGGAUCGCAGUCUGCAACUCGACUGCGUGAAGCUGGAAUCGCUAGUAAUCGCGGAUCAGCAUGCCGCGGUG